Molecule: ribosomal RNA, 879 nt
Filed under: Triticum aestivum (bread wheat)
Lineage: Eukaryota; Viridiplantae; Streptophyta; Magnoliopsida; Poales; Poaceae
Description: partial small subunit ribosomal RNA
Source: RNAcentral
AUGUCCGGAUCCAACCUUCAAGGUCGAUGGAUGCCCUCCUCUAUAACAGAGGAGGACAUCAAGAAGCUGAGAGAGGCCAUAUAUCUGAUCGAAGAAAUUUCACAUAGGCUGCCUGCCCGAGGGCAGGUUGUCCCUACUCCCGAACCCACUGAGAGUGUCGUGUUCAUCUCCCACUUCCUCCGAGGACUAGGCCUCGCUCUAGAUCCCUUUGUCAAGGGUCUUAUGUUCUACUAUGGGCUGGAUUUCCAUGAUCUAGCCCCGGACUCCCUUCUUCACAUCUCGUCAUUUAUUGUCGUAUGUGAGGCCUUCCUCCGCACUACCCCUCACUCUAGCCUGUGGCUCAAGACCUUCGAUGUGAAGCCGAAGAUGAUCGAGGGGCGGCACGCAGAGUGCGGAGGUGCUUUAAUAAGCAAAAUCGCUGAUGCUCCAUGGCCAGAGGGUUCCUUCCCAGAGGUGUCCGGAUUGUGGCAGUGGGAGUGGUUUUACAUCACAGCUCCCCGAAGUGCCAAGUGGGUAGCCGCCCCCACCUUUCGCUUGGGCCCCCCCACCGCAACUGAUGUCAUGGAUCAGCAGGCGACUGAGCUGGGGUCCAGCAAAGGACGUGCCAAUACUGCAGAGCCGUAUCCGAGAUCUCUUCGAGAGAGAUUUCAGUCUAGUUAUGGUAAUGCAAGUUAUGCUAGUUCGUCGAGCCCAGCCUUGCAAACGUCGGCCCCUCCGUAUGCGGGAAUUCAACCCGGAAGGACCGCGAGCUAUUCAACAUUUCCUCGGCAUGACGCUCGAAGAGAUGUACAAAUCGUUCUUCGAACCCCAAAUAAAGUGUCCGGACACCUCCGAGGAUGUGGGUUUGAGCUGCAACCGCCCUGCUACCCAAGUAAGUAA